Molecule: ribosomal RNA, 563 nt
Filed under: uncultured bacterium
Lineage: Bacteria
Description: partial 16S ribosomal RNA
Rfam family: Bacterial small subunit ribosomal RNA
Source: RNAcentral
UGGGGAAUAUUGGACAAUGGGCGCAAGCCUGAUCCAGCCAUGCCGCGCGAGUGAUGAAGGCCUUAGGGUUGUAAAGCUCUUUCGCCGGUGAAGAUAAUGACGGUAACCGGAGAAGAAGCCCCGGCUAACUUCGUGCCAGCAGCCGCGGUAAUACGAAGGGGGCUAGCGUUGCUCGGAAUCACUGGGCGUAAAGCGCACGUAGGCGGAUCGUUAAGUCAGGGGUGAAAUCCUGGAGCUCAACUCCAGAACUGCCCUUGAUACUGGCGAUCUCGAGUUCGAGAGAGGUUGGUGGAACUCCGAGUGUAGAGGUGAAAUUCGUAGAUAUUCGGAAGAACACCAGUGGCGAAGGCGGCCAACUGGCUCGAUACUGACGCUGAGGUGCGAAAGCGUGGGGAGCAAAACAGGAUUAGAUACCCUGGUAGUCCACGCCGUAAAACGAUGGAUGCUAGCCGUUGGGGGGUUUACCUCUCAGUGGCGCAGCUAACGCCUUAAGCAUCCCGCCUGGGGAGUACGGUCGCAAGAUUAAAAACUCAAAUGAAUUGACGGGGUCAUAGCUGUUUCCU